AGAGUUUGAUCCUGGCUCAGGACGAACGCUGGCGGCGUGCUUAACACAUGCAAGUCGAACGGGAGUACUUUGAAAGCUUGCUGAUAAGUACUUUAGUGGCGGACGGGUGAGUAACGCGUGAGGAGCUGUCUUAUGCAGGGGGACAACAGUUGGAAACGGCUGCUAAUACCCCAUAAGCCGAGAGGUAAAAGGAGCAAUCCGGCAGAGGAGGUACUCGCGUCCUAUCAGCUAGUAGGUUGGGUAACGGCCGACCUAGGCGAAGACGGGUAGCCGGCCUGAGAGGGCGAACGGCCACACUGGAACUGAGAUACGGUCCAGACUCCUACGGGAGGCAGCAGUGGGGAAUAUUGGGCAAUGGGGGCAACCCUGACCCAGCGACGCCGCGUGGGUGAAGAAAUCCUUCGGGAUGUAAAGCCCUGUUGUACGGGAAGAGCAGAAGACGGUACCAUACGAGGAAGCCCCGGCAAACUACGUGCCAGCAGCCGCGGUAAUA
Molecule: ribosomal RNA, 493 nt
Filed under: uncultured bacterium
Lineage: Bacteria
Description: bacterial SSU rRNA
Rfam family: Bacterial small subunit ribosomal RNA
Source: RNAcentral